UACGUAGGGCGCAAGCGUUGUCCGGAAUUAUUGGGCGUAAAGAGCUCGUAGGCGGUUUGUCGCGUCUGCCGUGAAAGUCCGGGGCUCAACUCCGGAUCUGCGGUGGGUACGGGCAGACUAGAGUGAUGUAGGGGAGACUGGAAUUCCUGGUGUAGCGGUGAAAUGCGCAGAUAUCAGGAGGAACACCGGUGGCGAAGGCGGUUCUCUGGGCAUUACCUGACGCUGAGGAGCGAAAGUGUGGGGAGCGAACAGG
This 253-nucleotide ribosomal RNA is filed under the name uncultured bacterium. Its description in RNAcentral is "partial 16S ribosomal RNA". It matches the Rfam family "Bacterial small subunit ribosomal RNA", at positions 524 to 776 of the family's 1533-position model. The record is from RNAcentral.